Molecule: small nucleolar RNA, 91 nt
Filed under: Pteropus vampyrus (large flying fox)
Lineage: Eukaryota; Metazoa; Chordata; Mammalia; Chiroptera; Pteropodidae
Description: Small nucleolar RNA U3 (ENSPVAG00000028905.1)
Rfam family: Small nucleolar RNA U3 (bases 1-39)
Source: RNAcentral
AAGACUAUACUUUCAGGGAUAAUUUCUAUAGUUUGUCUUAUCCUGGACUCACUGGAGGUCACUUACACAGCUGUAGGCUGGAUGGCCUAAG